AACGAACGCUGGCGGCAUGCCUAACACAUGCAAGUCGAACGAGAUCUUCGGGUCUAGUGGCGCACGGGUGCGUAACGCGUGGGAAUCUGCCCUUUGGUUCGGAAUAACAGUUGGAAACGACUGCUAAUACCGGAUGAUGACGAAAGUCCAAAGAUUUAUCGCCAGAGGAUGAGCCCGCGUAGGAUUAGCUAGUUGGUGUGGUAAAGGCGCACCAAGGCGACGAUCCUUAGCUGGUCUGAGAGGAUGAUCAGCCACACUGGGACUGAGACACGGCCCAGACUCCUACGGGAGGCAGCAGUGGGGAAUAUUGGACAACGGGCGAAAGCCUGAUCCAGCAAUGCCGCGUGAGUGAUGAAGGCCUUAGGGUUGUAAACCUCUUUUACCCGGGAUGAUAAUGACAGCACCGGGAGAAUAAGCUCCGGCUAACUCCGUGCCAGCCGCCGCAGUAA
RNAcentral lists this ribosomal RNA (449 nucleotides) under uncultured bacterium. RNAcentral describes it as "partial 16S ribosomal RNA". It matches the Rfam family "Bacterial small subunit ribosomal RNA", at positions 29 to 523 of the family's 1533-position model. The record is from RNAcentral.